AUGUUUAGAAUGAUGGAUAGGCCAAGUACUUCUACCAACCCACUCUUCAUCGAGCAAGACGACGACAUGUCCACCUAUGUCACAAAGAGCCACCUCUUUGGUGCACAACGUGCUUUGCAUCAAGAGCAACAAGCAAUGAGCAAGCACAUCGACAACCUCGCCACUGACUUGCGACUCUCUGGGCAACGUACAAGAGACUAUUUCAACAAGAAGCUCGACGACCACAAGCAAGAGAAUGAUGCAAGAAUGGUCGAGAUUCGUGCUUUGUUGCUCAACCGCUCUUCUUCCACUUCGUCCUCCUCAAGACGGAGCUGCUCAAGUCGACACUCCGACUACACCAUCUCCGGCUCAAGUACACUGACAUCGAAUACUCUUCGACAUGCCGCGCACCAAGAUCGUCAAGCAAACCACAAUCCUCUACACGACAACAGCUCUCAAGAGCAACGACACCGUCAAAACCAAGCUACAUUUGUGCAAGCACGAGAACGGCAACGCCAACGCCAACAGAAGAGGAAGAGCGAGCGCGUCUACACCAAGAUGCACAAGAUGCCGAGGCACAACGUCAAGAACAACAACUGUGAGAAGCUCAAGCACUUGAGGCGCAACAAGCCCUCCGAGAUUCAAGUCGAGCCGUAG
This 636-nucleotide ribosomal RNA is filed under the name Triticum aestivum (bread wheat). RNAcentral's name for it is "partial small subunit ribosomal RNA". The record is from RNAcentral. Lineage: Eukaryota; Viridiplantae; Streptophyta; Magnoliopsida; Poales; Poaceae.